CUAGGCCACACUUCCUACAUGAUGUUAACAUUUUAAUAUGAAAUACUUAUGCAUUGAUAGGUUCCUAUGGCGAGCUUGCUUCGUGCCAACAUAACCUAAAAUCUCAUCUGAAGAAGUGUCUGAGUAUUUGUUUGAAGGAACCCAACAUUUCUCAAUAAGAUCUAUACCAAGCUCUACACAGAGGGUGGAAGUGGCAAGGUCAACAAUGAACAUGAGGUGAGACAGAUUGAGAGAGCAUGCAAGAGACCAGACACACAAGAUGUCAUUAGAAUGUAAUGACAUCUUCAAACCCUUACCUGGACAAGACAAGGAUAUCCGAACUAUGCUAACAAAGGGAAUCACUGGCAUUGGAAAAACAGUGUCUGUGCAGAAGUUUAUUCUUGCCUGGGUGGAAGAAAAGGCAAACCAGGAUGUCCAGCUCGUCUUUUCACUCCCUUUUCAGGAGCUGAAUUUGAUGGAGGAAAAGAGUUAAUGGAACUUCAUCACUUUUUUUUAUUGAGAUCAAAAAUCUGGAAUCUCAGACCUCAAGAAGUACAAUGUUGUGUUUGUCCUUGAUGGUUUGGAUGAAUGCCAUCUUCCUCUAGAUUUUGAGAGCAAGACCUGGUGUGAUGUCACAAAGCCAACCACAGUGGAUGUGCUGUCUUUACAAACCUCAUCCAGGGAAAUCUGCUUCCCUAUGCUCGCAUCUGGUUUACCUCCCGACCUGCACCAGCCAAUCGCAUUCCUCUAGAGUGUGUUGACCAGGUGAAAGAGAUGCGAGGGUUCAGUGACUCACGGAAGGAUGAGUACUUCAUCAAGAGAAUGACUGAUCCAAACCAGGCCAGAAGAAUCCUCACACACAUCAAGUCAUCAAGAAUAUUUGAAGAAUAUCAUCAAGAAUAUCAUGUGCCACAUUCCAGUAUGCUGUUGGAUUUCAUCCUCUGUUCUGAAGAAUCUGUUAGUUGAAGCAGAGAGUAGGAAGAUGCCCAAAACGCUGACUCAAAUGUGCACACACUUCCUGAUGUUUCAGACCAGACAGGUGAAUCUGAAGUAUGUUAUAGAACAAGAGAUGGAACCCCCAUUAAAUCAAAAGAUAAUUCUGGGAUUGGGGAAGCUAGCCUUUCAACAGCUGGAAAAGGGCAACCUGAUCUUCUAAGAGGAAGACCUGAGAGAGUAGGGCAUCGAUGUUGAAGUGUCAGUGUACUUCAGAAUGUGUGCACAGGUCUUCAGAGAGGAGUGUGGGCUGUACCUGAGAAAGGUGUACUGCUUUGUGCCUCUGAGCAUCCAGGAGUGUCUGACUGCUCUGUAUGUCUUUCUCAUGUUCAACAAUGUAAAUCUGAUGGCAGAACAGGAAACCACACCCAAUGACCCUCUGACGUCUAACGAAUUCUCUACAACCAUCCUCCAUAAGAGUGCAGUAGAUAAGGCACUGAAGAGUGAGAAUUGACACCUGGACCUCUUCCUCAGCUUCCUUCUCAGCCUCUCCCUGGAGUCCAAUCAGACUCUGUUAAGAGGUCUACCAACACAGACAAGAAGCAGCUCACAGAGCCAUAAGGAAACAAUAGAAUACAUCAAGGAGAACCCCUCUCCAGAGAAGUGCAUCAGCCUGUACCACUGUCGGAAUGAGCUGAAUGACCAUUUAGUGGAGGAGAUCCAAAGGCACCUGGGAUCGGGAAUUCUCUCUAAGGCCAAACAUUCACCUGCAGAGUGGUCAGCUCUGGUCUUUGUGUUGCUGACCUCAGAGAUGCUAGAUAUUUUCGAACUGAGAAAAUACUCUGGUUCAGAGGGUCUGCUGAGGCUGCUGCCAGUGGUCAAAGCCUCCAGAGUAGUGCUACUGAUGGGUUACAACCUGACAGAAAAAUGCUGUGAAGCACUGGCCUCUUCUCUCAGCUCCCCUCAACUGAGAACGCUGAACCUGAAUGAUAAUGAUCUGCAGGAUUCAGGAGUGAAGCUGCUCUCUGCUGGACUGAGGAGUCCACGCUGUAAACUGGAAGUUCUUACGUGUUGGAGUGUAAAGUAUUAGUUUGUUAUUAUAUGGAAUCACAGAGGAAGGCUGUGCUUCCUUGACCUCGGCUCCGAGGUCAAACCCCUCACACCUGAGAGAACUAAAUCUGGACUACAGUCACAUAGGAGACUCAGGAGUGAAGAUUCUCUCUGCUGCACUGGAGCAUCCAGACUGUAAUGUAAAACUCAGAUACCUAUGAGCUGACACUGGACCCAAACACAGCUCACAGACGCCUCGCCGUCUGAGGGGAACAUAACAGAGACGGGAGACAGAGGAGAAACCGUAUCCUGAUCACCCAGAGGAGCAACCAUAUCCAGAUUAGAGUUGCUGUUAUCCAACACAUGUAUGAUAUAGGCUACUGCACAGUACGCACGACAGACAAACAUAAAAGCCCAUAGAUGUAGCUAGCUAUAUACUCUCUUAGGUAAAUAAAUGAAACUAGUGCGAACUGUAUUACUGUACUGUAUUAUACUGUAUUAUAUGGGCUGGAAUUACGCACAUUGUUCAAACCACGAUAAAGCAGGAGAGAACAUGCGAUUCGUGUGCAGCACAUGCAGCCUACAAAGUCACAAGUAUAGGCUAAAGAAUUUGAUUUAAAUUUUGAAAUAUAAUAGGGCCUAUUUGUAUACUUAGUAGGCUGACGCAUAUAUACCUUUCAUAAUAUUCCCCUAAUGUUAUUAGCCUACUUCCUCUUUCUCUAUUGUUGCUUCAUUCCUUCCUCGCUUUCAACAGUUCAAUUAAAUACUUUUCGUUGUCCUUAUCUUCAUCAUUCUAAUGACAUCCAUUAAUAAUAUUGGACUAGAAUUAGAAACAGAAUGCUUACACUUCUCUUCACGAAGAUUGAAUGGUAAUGAGUCCGAAUAAUUAACUGAUAUAGCCUACCGCUAUCGCGCCCAUUUGCUCUUCUUUCAAACUACCCGUGAGUUCUAUUGGCUGCUGUAUUUAGCAAUCAUAAACAUAUUAUGCCCAGCAAUGUAUUUUAGUCUAGUUUUUCCUGCAUGGGAUUGGAAGAGCUAAGGAGCGUUUUUUAAGGAGAGGUCAGCGGAGCACAGGUGUGUGUGUAAGGGAUGUGAAACGGCUGGCUUAGUUAGCGGUGCGCACUAAAUAGUGUUUCAAUCAGUGACGUCACUUGCUCUGCAAGGGCGGCGGCUUUGGUGGAGCGAUGGGUAACGAUGCUUCGAGGGGUGACUGUUGUUGAUGUGUGCAGAGGGUCCCUGGUUCGCGCCCGGGCAUGGACGGUCUAAAGUUAUACUGUUACAUUGAUGCUGUUGACCCGGAUCACUGGUUGCUGUGGAAAGGGAGGAGGUCAAAAGGGGGAGAAGAGCUCCCUCUGUCCUCAAUAUGCUGAUACCCCCUCCAGUUUGUCAGAGAUCCCCUGCUACAGCCCAGGAGAGCAACCUCAGGCUGGGAAACGUACCAGUCCUGUCAGAGCCUGCACAGAAUGCUAUAGAACAUUGUAUUGUAUUGUAUUCAUGACGUUACUCUGAGGACUAUGUCCCCUGAAUCUGUGGGGAAGUGUUGUAAUCCAUACAUUUGUAACAGUGUAAAUAAUCUAUAAAAGUAUUAUAUUUGAUUGUAGCACGCCUUGAUUUUAUAGCCAUUAAUUAUGAGUGAUUUACACAGAUGUACACAAUAGACAAGUACAGGUUUUAUGGUGUUGGUAGCAUGCUGUACUACAGUACUUAUCUUACUAAAGACAUUCCUGAAACUAACACUAAAUACAUUUAUGAAGAUUUGUACCAUAUUUGUAAAGUGUGUUGUCUCUUCCUCUCUAUCACUAAAAGGAGGCGUGGCGUAAUGCAGUACCAGUGAUGUUCUGUACACUGCAUCUGGUUCUAUCUUACUAAAGACAUUCCUGAAACUAACACUAAAUACAUUUAUGAAGAUUUGUACCAUAUUUGUAAAGUGUGUUGUCUCUUCCUCUCUAUCACUAAAAGGAGGCGUGGCGUAAUGCAGUACCAGUGAUGUUCUGUACACUGCAUCUGGUUCUAUCUUACUAAAUAACUUCCUGAAACUAACACUAAAUACAUUUAUAAAGAUUUGUACCAUAUUUGUAAAGUGUGUUGUCACUUCCUCUCUAUCACUAAAAGGAGGUGUGGCGUAAUGCAGUACCAGUGAUGUUCUGUACACUGUCUCUGGUUCUAUCUUACUAAAUAACUUCCUGAAACUAA
This is a long non-coding RNA of Oncorhynchus nerka (sockeye salmon), 4155 nucleotides long. RefSeq lists it as uncharacterized. The record is from RefSeq and is a predicted model, not a curated record. Lineage: Eukaryota; Metazoa; Chordata; Actinopteri; Salmoniformes; Salmonidae. The transcript has 5 exons.